UACGAAGGGGGCUAGCGUUGCUCGGAAUCACUGGGCGUAAAGGGCGCGUAGGCGGCCGAUCAAGUCGGAGGUGAAAGCCCAGGGCUCAACCCUGGAAUGGCCUUCGAUACUGGUUGGCUCGAGACCGGAAGAGGUAAGUGGAACUGCGAGUGUAGAGGUGAAAUUCGUAGAUAUUCGGAAGAACACCAGUGGCGAAGGCGGCUCACUGGUCCGGUACUGACGCUGAGGUGCGAAAGCGUGGGGAGCAAACAGG
RNAcentral lists this ribosomal RNA (253 nucleotides) under uncultured bacterium. RNAcentral's name for it is "partial 16S ribosomal RNA". It matches the Rfam family "Bacterial small subunit ribosomal RNA", at positions 524 to 776 of the family's 1533-position model. The record is from RNAcentral.